AGCCCCCGCGGCCGCGGCAGUCGAUCAUCGCAUGCUGCCCUGGCCAACCCGGGGGCG
This is a non-coding RNA of Pseudomonas sp. EGD-AK9, 57 nucleotides long. Lineage: Bacteria; Pseudomonadati; Pseudomonadota; Gammaproteobacteria; Pseudomonadales; Pseudomonadaceae. The record is from Rfam.